UAUCAAGCUCAGCCUUUCCACUCUCUGCAGGGUCAAGUGAAAAACUUGGGAAGAUCUCAGAAAGAAAAUGCAGAGAAGCCACGGAUUCCCUAAUCGAAGGCCUACAAUUCCAAGGAUCUGAGCCAUCGGACUUCUAGCAGCGUCUGCUUGGGGGCUAACACCUGGGAGCUAAGACAGAUGCUCUCUGUUGACUGUUUGUUUGUCUUUGAAGAAGCUGCCUGAGCACACCCACUGCCUGAGUAUGCCAGCCAGCCCCCUGAAGAUCUUCUGAACCUGAGGACUUUGGCACCUGAGCCUUCUUUGCAGUGUAAUCUAGAGACUUGGUUUUGGUUUCUCCUGUGACCAUAAAAACCCUACCUUAUUCUAAGUAAAGUGGAGCCUUGAUUGGGACG
Molecule: long non-coding RNA, 392 nt
Organism: Mastomys coucha (southern multimammate mouse)
Lineage: Eukaryota; Metazoa; Chordata; Mammalia; Rodentia; Muridae
Exons: 2
Source: RefSeq, a predicted model, not a curated record